This 755-nucleotide ribosomal RNA is filed under the name Staphylococcus aureus. RNAcentral's name for it is "partial 23S ribosomal RNA". It matches the Rfam family "Bacterial large subunit ribosomal RNA", at positions 437 to 1195 of the family's 2925-position model. Lineage: Bacteria; Bacillati; Bacillota; Bacilli; Caryophanales; Staphylococcaceae. The record is from RNAcentral.
UCGGAAUCUGGGAGGACCAUCUCCUAAGGCUAAAUACUCUCUAGUGACCGAUAGUGAACCAGUACCGUGAGGGAAAGGUGAAAAGCACCCCGGAAGGGGAGUGAAAUAGAACCUGAAACCGUGUGCUUACAAGUAGUCAGAGCCCGUUAAUGGGUGAUGGCGUGCCUUUUGUAGAAUGAACCGGCGAGUUACGAUUUGAUGCAAGGUUAAGCAGUAAAUGUGGAGCCGUAGCGAAAGCGAGUCUGAAUAGGGCGUUUAGUAUUUGGUCGUAGACCCGAAACCAGGUGAUCUACCCUUGGUCAGGUUGAAGUUCAGGUAACACUGAAUGGAGGACCGAACCGACUUACGUUGAAAAGUGAGCGGAUGAACUGAGGGUAGCGGAGAAAUUCCAAUCGAACCUGGAGAUAGCUGGUUCUCUCCGAAAUAGCUUUAGGGCUAGCCUCAAGUGAUGAUUAUUGGAGGUAGAGCACUGUUUGGACGAGGGGCCCCUCUCGGGUUACCGAAUUCAGACAAACUCCGAAUGCCAAUUAAUUUAACUUGGGAGUCAGAACAUGGGUGAUAAGGUCCGUGUUCGAAAGGGAAACAGCCCAGACCACCAGCUAAGGUCCCAAAAUAUAUGUUAAGUGGAAAAGGAUGUGGCGUUGCCCAGACAACUAGGAUGUUGGCUUAGAAGCAGCCAUCAUUUAAAGAGUGCGUAAUAGCUCACUAGUCGAGUGACACUGCGCCGAAAAUGUACCGGGGCUAAACAUAUUACC